This 1394-nucleotide ribosomal RNA is filed under the name bacterium NLAE-zl-C13. Its description in RNAcentral is "bacterial SSU rRNA". It matches the Rfam family "Bacterial small subunit ribosomal RNA". The record is from RNAcentral.
UCGAGGGGCAGCAUUUCAGUUUGCUUGCAAACUGGAGAUGGCGACCGGCGCACGGGUGAGUAACACGCUAUCCAACCUGCCGAUAACUCGGGGAUAGCCUUUCGAAAGAAAGAUUAAUACCCGAUGGUAUAAUCAGACCGCAUGGUCUUNUUAUUAAAGAAUUUCGGUUAUCGAUGGGGAUGCGUUCCAUUAGGCAGUUGGUGAGGUAACGGCUCACCAAACCUUCNAUGGAUAGGGGUUCUGAGAGGAAGGUCCCCCACAUUGGAACUGAGACACGGUCCAAACUNAUACGGGAGGCAGCAGUGAGGAAUAUUGGUCAAUGGGCGCAGGCCUGAACCAGCCAAGUAGCGUGAAGGAUGACUGCCCUAUGGGUUGUAAACUUCUUUUAUAUGGGAAAUAAAGUUUUCCACGUGUGGAAUUUUGUAUGUACCAUAUGAAUAAGGAUCGGCUAACUUCCGUGCCAGCAGCCGCGGUAAUACGGAGGAUCCGAGCGUUAUCCGGAUUUAUUGGGUUUAAAGGGAGCGUAGGUGGACAGUUAAGUCAGUUGUGAAAGUUUGCGGCUCAACCGUAAAAUUGCAGUUGAUACUGGCUGUCUUGAGUACAGUAGAGGUGGGCGGAAUUCGUGGUGUAGCGGUGAAAUGCUUAGAUAUCACGAAGAACUCCGAUUGCGAAGGCAGCUCACUGGACUGCAACUGACACUGAUGCUCGAAAGUGUGGGUAUCAAACAGGAUUAGAUACCCUGGUAGUCCACACAGUAAACGAUGAAUACUCGCUGUUUGCGAUAUACAGUAAGCGGCCAAGCGAAAGCAUUAAGUAUUCCACCUGGGGAGUACGCCGGCAACGGUGAAACUCAAAGGAAUUGACGGGGGCCCGCACAAGCGGAAGGAACAUGUGGUUUAAUUCGAUGAUACGCGAGGAACCUUACCCGGGCUUAAAAUUGCAUUUGAAUAUUUUGGAAACAGNNUAGCCGUAAGGCAAAUGUGAAGGUGCUGCAUGGUUGUCGUCAGCUCGUGCCGUGAGGUGUCGGCUUAAGUGCCAUAACGAGCGCAACCCUUAUCUUUAGUUACUAACAGGUCAUGCUGAGGACUCUAGAGAGACUNCCGUCGUAAGAUGUGAGGAAGGUGGGGAUGACGUCAAAUCAGCACGGCCCUUACGUCCGGGGCUACACACGUGUUACAAUGGGGGGUACAGAAGGCAGCUACCUGGUGACAGGAUGCUAAUCCCAAAAGCCUCUCUCAGUUCGGAUCGAAGUCUGCAACCCGACUUCGUGAAGCUGGAUUCGCUAGUAAUCGCGCAUCAGCCAUGGCGCGGUGAAUACGUUCCCGGGCCUUGUACACACCGCCCGUCAAGCCAUGAAAGCCGGGGGUACCUGAAGUACGAACCGCAAGGAGCUC